UGGCGGCGUGCCUAACACAUGCAAGUCGAACGAGAAAGUGGAGCAAUCCAUGAGUAAAGUGGCGACCGGGUGAGUAACACGUGACUAACCUACCUCCGAGUGGGGAAUAACUCCGGGAAACCGGGGCUAAUACCGCAUAACACCGCAAGGUCAAAGCAGCAAUGCGCUUGGAGAGGGGGUCGCGGCUGAUUAGCUAGUUGGUAGGGUAACGGCCUACCAAGGCGAAGAUCGGUAUCCGGCCUGAGAGGGCGCACGGACACACUGGAACUGAAACACGGUCCAGACUCCUACGGGAGGCAGCAGUGGGGAAUUUUGCGCAAUGGGGGAAACCCUGACGCAGCAACGCCGCGUGGAGGAUGAAGCCCUUUGGGGCGUAAACUCCUUUCGACUCGGACGAUAAUGACGGUACGAGUGGAAGAAGCACCGGCUAACUCCUGUUGGCCCCCCAAAAGGCCC
This 456-nucleotide ribosomal RNA is filed under the name uncultured bacterium. RNAcentral's name for it is "bacterial SSU rRNA". It matches the Rfam family "Bacterial small subunit ribosomal RNA", at positions 37 to 525 of the family's 1533-position model. The record is from RNAcentral.